ACAACGACUCUCGGCAACGGAUAUCUCGGCUCUCGCAUCGAUGAAGAACGUAGCGAAAUGCGAUACUUGGUGUGAAUUGCAGAAUCCCGUGAACCAUCGAGUCUUUGAACGCAAGUUGCGCCCGAAGCCUUUAGGCCGAGGGCACGCCUGCCUGGGCGUCACGCA
Molecule: ribosomal RNA, 165 nt
Filed under: Petrosedum forsterianum
Lineage: Eukaryota; Viridiplantae; Streptophyta; Magnoliopsida; Saxifragales; Crassulaceae
Description: 5.8S ribosomal RNA
Rfam family: 5.8S ribosomal RNA
About the family: 5.8S ribosomal RNA (5.8S rRNA) is a component of the large subunit of the eukaryotic ribosome. It is transcribed by RNA polymerase I as part of the 45S precursor that also contains 18S and 28S rRNA.
Source: RNAcentral